RNAcentral lists this long non-coding RNA (700 nucleotides) under Piliocolobus tephrosceles (Ugandan red Colobus). RNAcentral describes it as "lncRNA (ENSPTEG00000031475.1)". The record is from RNAcentral. Lineage: Eukaryota; Metazoa; Chordata; Mammalia; Primates; Cercopithecidae.
CCUUGUAUGGCCUUUCAAGUCCAUAGCCCACUCAGAGAUGACCACCAAUAACCACUACUUGCCCCUAUUCAUAAUGCACCUCACACUGUACUGCAAUAAUGUGCUUAUGUGUCUGAUAUCCCUCUAGACUGCCCUGAGUGGGCAAGGAACAUGUCUCUGGCACAUGGCUGUGUCUACCAUCCAAGAUGAUGGUACUGUGCCUAACAGUUGGAUGAAAAAAAGAAAUGGAAUUUAAAUAAAUCAGAGGACACUGAAAACAGGCUCAAUACAGCUCAGAAGCUGUUUGUGAGUAAACCACACAGAAGCCAACUUGUGGAAUGCUAGGAUGAGAGGUCCAGCAGGGGUCUGAGGGAUGCCCUAUUCUGUGAUAUGCCGGAGCAAAGGGACAUAAAAUAACAGGCAGAAAACCAUAAUCCAAUAUGGGAAGUCACCCCAGAGGUGAACCUGGAGAAACCCCAGAGCUCCAGAAGGCAAAUAUGGAGAUCUGGGACCCACAAACCUAAAAUUAUAAAGAAAAGAAGAGAACCAGGGGUGGCGUCAAGAUUAGAAGCUGGUUUCCUUCCAGAGCUUUGCUUCCUUUAAUGCACUCGCCCACAGUCUCCCUGCUUUCCAAAGACCAACUGCAGGCUUGACUCCUGCAGCCAUGUCAGUGCCACUGGGCCUUGGUGCUGAAUAAAUGAAACUAGAAGGCAAAAAUACA